CCUACGGGAGGCAGCAGUGAGGAAUAUUGGUCAAUGGCCGGAAGGCUGAACCAGCCAUGCCGCGUGAAGGUCAGUGCCCCAUGGGCGUUUAACUUCCUUUGUGCGGGAGCAAUAAUGGUCACGUGUGGCCAGACGAGAGUACCGUACGAAUAAGCAUCGGCUAACUCCGUCCCAGCAGCCGCCGUAAUACGGGGGAUGCAAGCGUUAUCCGGAUUUUUUGGGUUUAAAGGGUGCGAAGGCGGUCUUUUAAGUCAGCGGUAAAAGCCCGGGGCCCAACCCCGGCCCGCGGUUGAAACUGGCAGUCUCGAGUUGGAGGGAAGUAUGCGGAAUGCGCGGUGUAGCGGUGAAAUGCAUAGAUAUCGCGCAGAACUCCGAUUGCGAAGGCAGCAUGCCGGCUCCACACUGACGCUGAGGCACGAAAGCGUGGGUAUCGAACAGGAUUAGAUACCCGUGUAGUC
This 458-nucleotide ribosomal RNA is filed under the name uncultured bacterium. Its description in RNAcentral is "partial 16S ribosomal RNA". It matches the Rfam family "Bacterial small subunit ribosomal RNA", at positions 338 to 795 of the family's 1533-position model. The record is from RNAcentral.